AUGCCGUCAUCGUCCAGGUGGCUGCGGGAAGGCUGGUCAGGGCUGCCAGUUGCAGACGCCCUCCCCGAGUGGCUGUGCAGCCACUUGUGAUGCAAGUUCCUCGAGUGAUAUUCUCCAUCUGCCCCUCAGCUACUCCAGCUGCAACAGACAGCUCGGCGCCACCCAGCACUUUGGCUGGCUUCCCCAGGCUGUCAGGAUCCAGAAGCUCCUCUCCAGGACCAGCCAGAGUGCUCAGUUCCAGCGAACGACGGUGCUCCUGCCACUUCUCAUUCAGGCUUGGGUCACUGCUGCGCCGGCUGGCUAGAGGCACUGUGUUCUCGCAGGCGGUGGUCAGAUUGUCAAAUGAUCUAGUCUUUGGUAGCCUAAAGGAAGGAGUUUGGGGGAAAUGAGAAUAUGAGGUUGUUCACAGGGAAGUAGGAGACAACAGGUUUUAACAGGCAGUCAUUUCAUAAAUGGCUCCAUUACGGCUACUCAAGGAGCCAUGGCGCAUCUGGACUAAGGCUCAGACUGCAGAAAGGCAGAGCUCCAGGACGAGUACUUCUAUUCCUCUGGCACCAUCCCUACCCCAUGCCCAACACAUACAAAUAAGCUAAUAGCAAACGCUAUUUUAAAAAGAUAUUCUUCAUGAUACUGCUAUGUUUCUCAAUUAGUGGCAGAGGAAAGUAGCACUGCUGAUCUUCUGAUAUUACAAUAUUUUAAAUUAUUAUUCAUCAGUCUGAAUUCAAUAAAGCUAAUUCAUAGAUCUCAAAGCCAGACUGUCUAUCAUCUGAUGGCAUCUGCCUUUCAAGCCCAGGACAGCAAGUCACAGCAGGGAGGCAGGAGCACAGAGCAGUGGCUGAAACUCCAGCCAGAGGGUCACAAGGAACCCAGAGGAUAUGCUCCAUCACUGAGAAACUGCUCCUCAGAGAUCUAAGAAACAUGUGUGGAACCAAAUAAUGUCAUGAUCUCCAACCAUCCCUGGAUGCAUCCCAACACAGGAGUACACCCACAAAGGACCUGCAGUCUUGGCAUCAGCCCCAGGCUCACCGACUCAGAGGUGGAUCAUCAGGGCUGGUGCCAGGGGCUGGGUAUGGUGCACAGCUGUCGUCCACAGGGGUGGACGGGGAUGGGCAGGGCAGGUACACUGCACUCCACAGCAUCAGGUUACGCACGUGGCACACAGGGUACAGCACCUGAAGAGAGAGCGGUGGACACAGGUUUAAACAACUUCCAACAAGUCUGUUAGAAAUGUCUAGAAAUGAGGGUGAAGAAGCAAGCACCAAGCAGGAACGCCCAGCAGUCCUGCACAAUCUCCAAGGGGCAUUAGCAUGAGUGGAUGCAGCUCUAUCACGGCGGGUGGUGGGUAGACGGGACAUUUUUCACCUGACAGCCUCUGUGGGAAUGAAAAUCUAAAAAAAAUUCUUUAAAUCCACUUCUCAUUAGUUGUUUCUUAGGUCACCUUUAUUGAAUGACUGGCUUUUCUCAACCUAAUUUGUUGCUUUUACCACACAAGAAAAUGAGUCAUUCUAGAUGGUUGAUAGUUCCCUAGUACAAAAGCUUGGCUUCAGAACACAUUGUCAAACCUGUUUUAUAGGAUCAUCUAAAUUAAUGAAGUGAAAAGGAGGAAAUUUUCUUCUGUACUGUUACUUCCCCAGCAGUCACAGGAGAGAGAGAAGCAGUUAGCUUCAAUCUUUCCUUGGACUACUUAACUGUAGUAAGAGGUUUAUUAAUUAAUAGUCCAGCAAAUCAAUAUAACCUCUGAUUAGCUUCCUUGUGACUUUAGAAUUUAAGAUGCAUUAAAAGGAACAUUACUGUGUACAUUACUGUGUACCGAUGCACAGAUAUAAGUGCCUCCUUUUCUCUGCUUAACAGAAAGUGUUCCUUUGAGGAACGAAGUCUUAAAGGGCCUGCCAGUUCUCCAUGUGAGUAUAGAGGAUCACACAGACACACUGCUAGUGUCACAAACAGUUUUCUGCUGAGACAGAUGCUGUAAUGGGUAUCAUUGCCUGUUGACACUGGAAGGGUGCUGGGGGCCUGCAGCUCCUUCUGAGCUAUCAGGGGCAUCCAGGGAACAACUUAAGUGCCUCCUCCACCUGUUAGACAGAACAUGCUAGAAAUAAGCUCUGGCGGAGGUGCCAGAAAAGAUUCAUGUCUAGAGUGGCAAAGUAGAGAUGUUUGCUAAAUCAAACCACCCUGAACAAAGAGCAGUCAGAAGCAGGGCAGAAUAGCCAGAAAACAGGCCUUUCUCAGGACAAAGUAGUUGGGAAAAAAUGGAACUACUCCAUCCAGAGACAACUGAGAUGCCUUCGAGAAAACAGUCACUUCUCAAAAAAGAUCCCAUAUGUCCCCAUCCCCAAAUUCAUUCUGCUGAUGAGGGAGAAAAGACUAAAGAAUACAUACGGCUUCUGACUGAGAGGAAUACAGUAGGUUUUUGAAAGCCUUGUUGCCCGCCCGAAGCAGCGACCACACAGAACACGUCCGUUCCUGAGUAUGUUUUUCCCCUCUCUCCUUGGCGUUGUUGCACAGGAAUGUUCCAAACAGGCAGGAAUAGGUAUGCUGCACCAGUUUCACCUAUGGGAGUCCAAUAUGAGGCAAAAUCAAACAAUGGGUACGCAUUUUCUGGGGGAAGGUCAGCCCAGCUAAGCCACCUUCCCCGACACCCCUGAUGUGCACUUCAGUUCACGCUUGGUAAGGAUGGGGGACCCAAGUAAGCCACCCAAUCGCAGACUCCUCAUAACCCCAGCCACCAUCACUCCUGAGUCAAAACGGCAAAGACAGGGUGUUGGCACCCCCAUCCUCUUGGCCUCCCUUGUAAACAGUCUCCAAGGUCCCCAGUUAACAGCUACCCAUAUAAACUGGGCAUAGGAGCAGGUCAGUGUGCAACCCAAGUCUGAACUUCUAAACAGCUUUUCAUUCAGCAAGUUGCUAUUGAGCAUCUCACAUACCCCAAAUGUUUCUGUGGGUGCUGGACAGGCAACAGUGAGAAGACGGCUCUCCUGCCCUGGUAGAGCUCGCUCUGGCUGUGGGGGUAGGGGUGACCAGUGCUAUGGACAACAAUAAGGCAGGGUAAGAGUGGCGGCCAGAGCACAUGCAGGGCAGCGUAAGAAGGCUCACUGACCUCUAGAGACCUGAUGGAAAUGAGAGAGCAGAUCAUACCAGCCGGGGGUGGGAGAGGAGGCUGCUCCAGGCACAAUGGCCUUGAGGUGAGCACAGGAUUGCAACUUCUGAGGAACUGACAGACAUUGCAUGAGGUGGAGGAUGGGCAGACAUUGCAUGAGGUGGAGGAUGGGAGGAAAUGAGCCUGGACAGGCUUGCAGGCCAUUUUAAGGACUGUGGAGAGAGCCUUGGAGGCCUUGCAGGAGGGCCUUGCAGGCCAUUUUAAGGACUGUGACUUAUCCUGUGUCAAAAGCAGAGUCAUUGGAGGUUUCUUGACAGAGGAAUGAUACGGCCUGUAUCAUGUUUUAGAAGGAUUCCUCAGGCUGCUAGACUGACUCGGGAAUUGGGGCAGGAGAUGUGGUGGCUUAGACUAGUGUUGGGAACAGCACAGGUAGCAAUAAGUUAUCAGGUUUUAGAUAUAUUUUUAAAGCAGAGCUGCAGAAUCUGCUGACAGACUGAAUAUGGAAUAUGAAAGAAAGGAGAGUUGAGGAUGACAUAAAAUUUUUGCCCUAAAUGAAUCGAAGGUGUGAGUUGCCAUUUGGUGAGAUGGAAGACUUCUGGAAGAUAAGUUUUGGGGUGGAGACAUAUGGAAAUCAAGAACUGAGUUCUGAAUGAGUUAAGUUUGAAAUACCAUUAAGACAUCCAAGUGGAGAUACUGAGUAGUCACAAGUGGAUGAGAGCCUGGAGUUAAGUGGAGAGAGAGAUCUGAGCUGAAGACGUAUACAUGUAGGAAUCACAGAGAGCAAUAAAAGCCAACAAACUGGAUGAAAUCCCUAGAGAAGGAGGCUGAGCCCUGGGGCACUCCCAGCAUUCACGAGUGGGGAGGGAAGGAGGAACCAGCAAAGGAGACAGAAAGGACCAGUUGGUGAAGCGGAGAACUAAGACUGUGCUGGAAGUCAUCUGAAGAAAGUGUUUCAAGAAAGGAGUGAUUAAAUUGUGCCAAAUUUUAAUGAUGGAUCAAAGAAGAUGAAGGCAGUCAAAAGGUACAAACUUCCAGUUAUAAAAUAAGUAAAUCGUGGGAUGUGAUGUACAGCAGGGUGACUGUAAGUUAGGAAUACUGUACUGUAUAUUUGAAAGUUGCCAGGAGAGGACAUCUUAAAAGUUCUCAUCACAAGAAAAAAACUUCAUAACUAUGUAUGGUAACAGAUGUUAACCAGAAUUUUGUGGUAAUCUUUUAGCAAUAUAUACAAAUAUCAAAUCACUGUUGUAUACCUGAAACUAAUAUAAUGUUAUCUAUCACUUAUACUGCAAUUUAAAUAAAGGGUGAUUGAAAACUGA
This is a non-coding RNA of Delphinapterus leucas (beluga whale), 4413 nucleotides long. The record is from RefSeq and is a predicted model, not a curated record. NCBI's taxonomy places the organism in Eukaryota, Metazoa, Chordata, Mammalia, Artiodactyla, Monodontidae.